This 498-nucleotide ribosomal RNA is filed under the name uncultured bacterium. Its description in RNAcentral is "partial 16S ribosomal RNA". It matches the Rfam family "Bacterial small subunit ribosomal RNA", at positions 28 to 523 of the family's 1533-position model. The record is from RNAcentral.
GAUGAACGCUGGCGGCAUGCCUAACACAUGCAAGUCGAACGAAGCUGCUCGGAAAGAGAUUUCGGUCAAUUGAAGAGUAGACUUAGUGGCGAACGGGUGAGUAAUGCAUGAGCAACCUGCCCUUCAGUGGGGGAUAACAGCCGGAAACGACUGCUAAUACCGCAUAACAUUUUCGAGAGGCAUCUCUUGAAAAUCAAAGAUUUAUUGCUGAAGGAUGGGCUCAUGUCUGAUUAGUUAGUUGGUGAGGUAACGGCUCACCAAGACCGCGAUCAGUAGCCGGUCUGAGAGGAUGAACGGCCACAUUGGGACUGAGAUACGGCCCAGACUCCUACGGGAGGCAGCAGUGGGGAAUAUUGGGCAAUGGGUGAAAGCCUGACCCAGCAAUGCCGCGUGAAGGAAGAAGGCCUUCGGGUUGUAAACUUCUUUUAUCAGGGACGAAGAAAGUGACAGUACCUGAUGAAUAAGCUCCGGCUAACUACGUGCCAGCCGCCGCCGUAA